This is a long non-coding RNA of Trematomus bernacchii (emerald rockcod), 140 nucleotides long. RefSeq lists it as uncharacterized. The record is from RefSeq and is a predicted model, not a curated record. NCBI's taxonomy places the organism in Eukaryota, Metazoa, Chordata, Actinopteri, Perciformes, Nototheniidae. The transcript has 3 exons.
UAAAAACAACAUAAACUCAGGUUGGUGGUGGUGGAUCAUCGUUGUGAUCGUGGGUGUUGCAGCACUCACAAUAAUCACUGUGGCUGUCAUCAGACGGAAGAGGACUCAAGGGAAUGAAACGCAGACGGACGACAACGUGG